Molecule: ribosomal RNA, 526 nt
Filed under: Staphylococcus pseudoxylosus
Lineage: Bacteria; Bacillati; Bacillota; Bacilli; Caryophanales; Staphylococcaceae
Description: bacterial SSU rRNA
Rfam family: Bacterial small subunit ribosomal RNA
Source: RNAcentral
CCCUUCGGGGGACAAAGUGACAGGUGGUGCAUGGUUGUCGUCAGCUCGUGUCGUGAGAUGUUGGGUUAAGUCCCGCAACGAGCGCAACCCUUAAGCUUAGUUGCCAUCAUUAAGUUGGGCACUCUAGGUUGACUGCCGGUGACAAACCGGAGGAAGGUGGGGAUGACGUCAAAUCAUCAUGCCCCUUAUGAUUUGGGCUACACACGUGCUACAAUGGACAAUACAAAGGGCAGCUAAACCGCGAGGUCAUGCAAAUCCCAUAAAGUUGUUCUCAGUUCGGAUUGUAGUCUGCAACUCGACUACAUGAAGCUGGAAUCGCUAGUAAUCGUAGAUCAGCAUGCUACGGUGAAUACGUUCCCGGGUCUUGUACACACCGCCCGUCACACCACGAGAGUUUGUAACACCCGAAGCCGGUGGAGUAACCAUUUAUGGAGCUAGCCGUCGAAGGUGGGACAAAUGAUUGGGGUGAAGUCGUAACAAGGUAGCCGUAUCGGAAGGUGCGGCUGGAUCACCUCCUUUCUAAGGA